This 256-nucleotide ribosomal RNA is filed under the name uncultured bacterium. Its description in RNAcentral is "partial 16S ribosomal RNA". It matches the Rfam family "Bacterial small subunit ribosomal RNA", at positions 524 to 776 of the family's 1533-position model. The record is from RNAcentral.
UACGUAGGGUGCAAGCGUUUGUCCGGAAUUAUUGGGCGUAAAGAGCUCGUAGGUGGCCUGUCGCGUCGGCUGUGAAAGCUCGGGGCUCAACUCCGAGCUUGCAGUCGAUACGGGCAGGCUAGAGUUCGGCAGGGGAGACUGGAAUUCCUGGUGUAGCGGUGAAAUGCGCAGAUAUCAGGAGGAACACCGGUGGCGAAGGCGGGGUCUCUGGGCCGAUACUGACACUGAGGAGCGAAAGCGUUGGGGAGCGAACAGG